Molecule: ribosomal RNA, 934 nt
Filed under: uncultured Bacteroidota bacterium
Lineage: Bacteria; Pseudomonadati; Bacteroidota
Description: bacterial SSU rRNA
Rfam family: Bacterial small subunit ribosomal RNA
Source: RNAcentral
UAUACAUGCUAGUCGAACGGGCCUNGGUAGCAAUACCCAGGUUAGUGGCGCACGGGUGCGUAACGCGUAUGCAACCUACCUUUUAUUGGGGGAUAGCCCGUCGAAAGACGGAUUAAUACCGCAUACCACUCUUUGAGGGCAUCUGAAGAGAGUGAAAGCUGAGGCGAUAAAAGAUGGGCAUGCGUGACAUUAGCUAGUUGGUUGAGGUAACGGCUCACCAAGGCGACGAUGUCUAGGGGUUCUGAGAGGAUGAUCCCCCACACUGGUACUGAGAUACGGACCAGACUCCUACGGGAGGCAGCAGUAGGGAAUAUUGGGCAAUGGAGGCAACUCUGACCCAGCCAUGCCGCGUGCAGGAUGAAGGCCUUCUGGGUUGUAAACUGCUUUUAUCUAGGAAGAAAAAACUCCUGCGGGAGGAACUGACGGUACUAGGUGAAUAAGCACCGGCUAACUCCGUGCCAGCAGCCGCGGUAAUACGGAGGGUGCAAGCGUUGUCCGGAUUUAUUGGGUUUAAAGGGUGCGUAGGCGGCCUUAUAAGUCAGUGGUGAAAGCCCACAGCUCAACUGUGGAACUGCCAUUGAUACUGUAAGGCUUGAGUACAGACGAGGUAGGCGGAAUUGAUGGUGUAGCGGUGAAAUGCAUAGAUACCAUCAAGAACACCGAUUGCGAAGGCAGCUUACUAGGCUGUAACUGACGCUGAGGCACGAAAGCGUGGGGAGCGAACAGGAUUAGAUACCCUGGUAGUCCACGCUGUAAACGAUGAUUACUCGAUGUUGGCGAUACACGGCCAGCGUCUUAGCGAAAGCGUNAAGUAAUCCACCUGGGGAGUACGCCCGCAAGGGUGAAACUCAAAGGAAUUGACGGGGCCCCCNNAGCGGNGGAGCAUGUGGUUNAUUCGAUGAUACCCGAGGAACCUUACCUAGGCUANAAUGCC